Molecule: ribosomal RNA, 496 nt
Filed under: uncultured bacterium
Lineage: Bacteria
Description: partial 16S ribosomal RNA
Rfam family: Bacterial small subunit ribosomal RNA
Source: RNAcentral
GAUGAACGCUGGCGGCGUGCCUAAUACAUGCAAGUCGAGCGAACAGACGAGGAGCUUGCUCCUCUGACGUUAGCGGCGGACGGGUGAGUAACACGUGGAUAACCUACCUAUAAGACUGGGAUAACUUCGGGAAACCGGAGCUAAUACCGGAUAAUAUAUUGAACCGCAUGGUUCAAUAGUGAAAGACGGUUUUGCUGUCACUUAUAGAUGGAUCCGCGCCGCAUUAGCUAGUUGGUAAGGUAACGGCUUACCAAGGCAACGAUGCGUAGCCGACCUGAGAAGGUGAGCGGCCACACUGGAACUGAGACACGGUCCAGACUCCUACGGGAGGCAGCAGUAGGGAAUCUUCCGCAAUGGGCGAAAGCCUGACGGAGCAACGCCGCGUGAGUGAUGAAGGUCUUCGGAUCGUAAAACUCUGUUAUUAGGGAAGAACAAAUGUGUAAGUAACUAUGCACGUCUUGACGGUACCUAAUCAGAAAGCCACGGCUAACUACGU